UACGGAGGGUGCAAGCGUUGCUCGGAAUUAUUGGGCGUAAAGGGCAGGUAGGUGGUCUCAUUUGUCUGGGGUGAAAGCCUUGGGCUUAACUCAAGAAGUGCCCCAGAAACGGUGAGACUGGAGUCCUGGAGAGGGUCGUGGAAUUCCCGGUGUAGCGGUGAAAUGCGUAGAGAUCGGGAGGAACACCAGAGGCGAAAGCGGCGACCUGGACAGGCACUGACACUCAACUGCGAAAGCGUGGGGAGCAAACAGG
Molecule: ribosomal RNA, 253 nt
Filed under: uncultured bacterium
Lineage: Bacteria
Description: partial 16S ribosomal RNA
Rfam family: Bacterial small subunit ribosomal RNA
Source: RNAcentral